Molecule: long non-coding RNA, 944 nt
Organism: Hibiscus syriacus
Lineage: Eukaryota; Viridiplantae; Streptophyta; Magnoliopsida; Malvales; Malvaceae
Exons: 3
Source: RefSeq, a predicted model, not a curated record
CCUCGAAUCGGGUCAGCACAAUUACUCGACUACGUAAAAUAACUAUUUAUUGUCAUUUUUGCAUUAGAAAAUUCCGUUCAUACUUACUGGGAACUAAAAUUUUUGUUUUUCCGAUCAUGCAACACCAAAAUACACGAUGAGCAAGAAGGAAGCAAAGUCGAGAUUAAUAGGGUGGAUUAUUUCCCUUCAGGAGUUCAACCUUGAAAUUAAGGAUAAAAAAGGAAGAGAAAACUUGGUGGUUGAUCAUCUCAGCCGUUUGUCAACGUCACCGAUCAAAUUGCCCAUUCGAGAAUAAUUUCCAUAAGAGAAUUUGAUAGAGGUUUGGUACUCUGAGAGAGAUCAUUUGCGAUAGAGGAAUGCAUUUUAUCAAUCGGAUUGUUGAUGCGUUGAUGAAAAAAUACGGUGUUACUCAACGAAUCGCGACGACCUAUCAUCCGUAGACUAACGGACAAGCGGAGAUGUCAAAUUGGGAAAUUAAAUCCAUCAUUGAGAAGAUCGUCAAAUCAAAUUGGAAGGAUCGGAGCUUGAAGUUAGUUGAUGCUUUGUGGGCGUAUUGGACGACCUAUAAGGGACCUAUCGACAUGUCUUAUCGACUUGUUUUCGACAAAUCUUUCCACUUGCCGGUCGAGCUUGAGCGUAAGGCGUAUUGGGUCAUUAAGGAAUGUAACAUGGAGAUGAGUGUUGUAGACAAAGCAUGGAAAUUACACAUCCAAGAGAUCGCUGAAAAACAUACGAUAGCGUACAACACUAUAAAAAUGAAGGAAAGCUUAAAUCUAAGUGGAUUGGACCUUUGACGAUAAUCGAUGUUUUUCCUCAUGGAGCCAUGGAAGUUGAAGAUAGUUCAGGUGCACCAAUCAGACUAAUUGAGGAAAUAAAUUUGGAAAAACUGAGAAUUUGAAAAAUAAAGGUCGUCGAGCUUAAAUGACGUUAAACAAAGUGCUUGU